This 253-nucleotide ribosomal RNA is filed under the name uncultured bacterium. RNAcentral's name for it is "partial 16S ribosomal RNA". It matches the Rfam family "Bacterial small subunit ribosomal RNA", at positions 524 to 776 of the family's 1533-position model. The record is from RNAcentral.
UACGAAGGGGGCUAGCGUUGUUCGGAAUCACUGGGCGUAAAGCGCACGUAGGCGGAUCUUUAAGUCAGGGGUGAGAUCCCGAGGCUCAACCUCGGAACUGCCUUUGAUACUGGGGAUCUCGAGUCCGGGAGAGGUGAGUGGAACUGCGAGUGUAGAGGUGAAAUUCGUAGAUAUUCGCAAGAACACCAGUGGCGAAGGCGGCUCACUGGCCCGGAACUGACGCUGAGGUGCGAAAGCGUGGGGAGCAAACAGG